GACGAACGCUGGCGGCGUGCCUAAUACAUGCAAGUCGAGCGGACUGAAUGGGAGCUUGCUCUUGUUCGGUCAGCGGCGGACGGGUGAGUAACACGUGGGCAACCUGCCCGCAAGACCGGGAUAACUCCGGGAAACCGGAGCUAAUACCGGAUAACACCGAAGACCGCAUGGUCUUUGGUUGAAAGGCGGCGCAAGCUGCCACUUGCGGAUGGGCCCGCGGCGCAUUAGCUAGUUGGGGAGGGAACGGCUCACCAAGGCGACGAUGCGUAGCCGGCCUGAGAGGGUGACCGGCCACACUGGGACUGAGACACGGCCCAGACUCCUACGGGAGGCAGCAGUAGGGAAUCUUCCGCAAUGGGCGAAAGCCUGACGGAGCGACGCCGCGUGAGCGAAGAAGGCCUUCGGGUCGUAAAGCUCUGUUGUGAGGGACGAAGGAGCGCCGUUUGAAGAAGGCGGCGCGGUGACGGUACCUCACGAGGAAGCCCCGGCUAACUACGUG
This 499-nucleotide ribosomal RNA is filed under the name uncultured bacterium. RNAcentral describes it as "partial 16S ribosomal RNA". It matches the Rfam family "Bacterial small subunit ribosomal RNA", at positions 28 to 507 of the family's 1533-position model. The record is from RNAcentral.